This 301-nucleotide ribosomal RNA is filed under the name uncultured bacterium. RNAcentral describes it as "partial 16S ribosomal RNA". It matches the Rfam family "Bacterial small subunit ribosomal RNA", at positions 509 to 808 of the family's 1533-position model. The record is from RNAcentral.
CAGUAGCCGCGGUAACACGAAGGGUGCAAGCGUUAACCGGAAUUACUGGGCGUAAAGCGUGCGUAGGCGGUUUGUUAAGCCUGUUGUGAAUCCCCGGGCUCAACCUGGGAAUGGCAAUGGAUACUGGCAAGCUAGAGUGUGUCAGAGGAUGGUGGAAUUCCCGGUGUAGCGGUGAAAUGCGUAGAGAUCGGGAGGAACACCGAUGGCGAAGGCAGCCCCCUGGGCCAAUACUGACGCUCAUGCACGAAAGCGUGGGGAGCAAACAGGAUUAGAUACCCGCGUAGUCCCUGUCUCUUAUACC